GGUAACACGAGUUCGAUGAUUUAUCGACCGAAAACAUGCAACAAUCUUAGUUCAAAAGGUAGCUAUAAUGCACAUGUAAAUCAAAAAUGCAAAAUGGGUAACACGAGUUUGAUGAUUUAUCAACCGAAAACAUGUAGCGUUCUUAUUGGUUCAAAA
Cucurbita moschata (crookneck pumpkin) is the source of this 156-nucleotide long non-coding RNA. RefSeq lists it as uncharacterized. The transcript has 3 exons. NCBI's taxonomy places the organism in Eukaryota, Viridiplantae, Streptophyta, Magnoliopsida, Cucurbitales, Cucurbitaceae. The record is from RefSeq and is a predicted model, not a curated record.